This 811-nucleotide long non-coding RNA is filed under the name Gossypium barbadense (sea-island cotton). RNAcentral's name for it is "long non-coding RNA (GBAR_LNC012156)". The record is from RNAcentral. Lineage: Eukaryota; Viridiplantae; Streptophyta; Magnoliopsida; Malvales; Malvaceae.
GUGGGCUGGAGGCCGAAGGUGAUAGUGCUGGAGACUUAGCUUUGGUCUUGCUAGGGGCCGGAGCUGGAACCGUGGCAGGAGGAGAAGCCAAAGGAGCUGGUGGUGGGGUAGCUGGAGGAGGAGUAGCAGGAGGGGGAGAAGCAGGUGGUGGGGUAGCCGGAGGUGGAGAAGCCGGUGGGGGAGUUGCGGGAGGUGGAGUAGCCGGGGGAGGAGAAGCUGGUGGUGGGGAGCUAACGGGCGGGGGAGUCGCUGGAGGAGGAGUGGAAACUGGUGGUGGUGAUGAAGUAGGAGGAGGAGAGGAAGCUGGUGGCGGAGAAGUAGUUGUGGGUGUUGGAGGUGGUUGAGUAGUAGGUGGAGGUGUGGAAGCGGGUGGAGUCGGCGGCGCCGGCGUGGAUGUCGGAGGAUUACUAGGAGUAGGAGGAGCUUGGCCUAAAACGCCAGCUACAGCAAUGCAAAACAAAGCUGAUAAGAACAAAAACUUAUUAUUAAGCAUCAUAUUGGAAACAAUGGUGACCCUUUAAUCCUGCACACCCUCUCCGCUUAAACUACGCCCAGCCGUGCAAGCAAAUGAGGGAGAAGAAGAGGCAAGUAUGAGAAAUGAAAAGAUGGUGAUAUUUAUAUAUAGGAUAUGGAAAUUUCCAUAUCAUAUUUCAAUUUAAAAUCCCCAAAACAAAUACCAGCAUUUUUAUUUUAUUACUAAUGGGAAAAUUGCAUUACUAAUCAUAUACAAUAUUCUAUAUUAAUUUAGUGUAAUUUAAUUCUUUCAUUUUUUUAUAAUGUUAUUAAUAGGUCCAAAAUCAAUAUCUCCGAU